This 298-nucleotide long non-coding RNA is filed under the name Nicotiana benthamiana. Its description in RNAcentral is "long non-coding RNA (NBEN_LNC027173)". Lineage: Eukaryota; Viridiplantae; Streptophyta; Magnoliopsida; Solanales; Solanaceae. The record is from RNAcentral.
ACUCAGCAACCAGCAUCAUCAAGUCAUCUAUUUCUUCUCUGUCUCUUUUCUUUUCUUCUUGUAGUUCCUUAACACGUCUUUGAGAGUGAUCGAGAUCUUUUCUCAAUGCUUUCACCAAAGACAUGUUUGAUGAAUGUUGUUGUUCAAGGCUCUAAAUCCUAUUAAGUAUCUUAAGUAACUCUGUUUUCUUUUCUCAAUGCUUUCACCAACAACAUGUUUGAUACAUGUUUUUCUUCAAGACUCCAAAUCCUAUUAAGUAUCCUAAGUAACUCCGUUGAUGUUUUAAGGCUGUAGCUUG